Molecule: long non-coding RNA, 544 nt
Organism: Stegostoma tigrinum
Lineage: Eukaryota; Metazoa; Chordata; Chondrichthyes; Orectolobiformes; Stegostomatidae
Exons: 3
Source: RefSeq, a predicted model, not a curated record
UCGAGGGGGGGAGGGGAGACAGGGGAGCGAGCGCAGUAGAGGGAGAAGGAGAGACGCGGAGAAACAGAGAGAGAGAGAGCAAGAGUCGGCUAUUUGGAGGAGCCUUGCCAUGUCAGAAAGCAAGGAUCAGGGGAACGUGCUCAUCACAGAAAAGGAUACGGACACAGCUGGGUUGUCCAAAACCCCGUGCUUGGAGCUGAGAACAGCCAUGGAGAAAUGCAUUGCAGACAAAGGUGAAGAGAAAUGUAAAGAAGCAACCCAGGCCUACAAAAACUGCAUGAAAGCAUUAGGACUUAAAGUUUAACAAUAGCUGACUGAUCCUCCUCCGAUAUAGACCAACCAUCAUGACUUGAAGAUUCAGCGAAUGUGCAACAAGGAGAUCCACUGAGGGUGCUGACCAAUCGCCAUUCUUUACAGAACCUCUGAUGAAGCCUCCGCCGAUCAGUAUUGGAUUCAAACAAUCAGUCACUACUCUUGUUUUGUUGUGAACUAACAUUGCUUGGGUAAAUAAUUUUUAAUGUUAUAAAAGUAUUAAAACACUGCA